This 467-nucleotide ribosomal RNA is filed under the name uncultured bacterium. Its description in RNAcentral is "partial 16S ribosomal RNA". It matches the Rfam family "Bacterial small subunit ribosomal RNA", at positions 28 to 506 of the family's 1533-position model. The record is from RNAcentral.
GACGAACGCUGGCGGCGUGCUUAACACAUGCAAGUCGAACGGAAAGGCCCUGCUUUUGUGGGGUGCUCGAGUGGCGAACGGGUGAGUAACACGUGAGUAACCUGCCCUUGACUUUGGGAUAACUUCAGGAAACUGGGGCUAAUACCGGAUAGGAGCUCCUGCUGCAUGGUGGGGGUUGGAAAGUUUCGGCGGUUGGGGAUGGACUCGCGGCUUAUCAGCUUGUUGGUGGGGUAGUGGCUUACCAAGGCUUGGACGGGUAGCCGGCCUGAGAGGGUGACCGGCCACAUUGGGACUGGGGUACGGCCCAGACUCCUACGGGAGGAAGCAGUGGGGAAUAGUGCACAAUGGGCGGAAGCCUGAUGGAGCAACGCCGCGUGCGGGAUGACGGCCUUCGGGUUGUAAACCGCUUUCGCCUGUGACGAAGCGUGAGUGACGGUAAUAGGUAAAGAAGCACCGGCUAACUACGU